This 484-nucleotide ribosomal RNA is filed under the name uncultured bacterium. RNAcentral's name for it is "partial 16S ribosomal RNA". It matches the Rfam family "Bacterial small subunit ribosomal RNA", at positions 30 to 507 of the family's 1533-position model. The record is from RNAcentral.
AUUGAACGCUGGCGGCAGGCCUAACACAUGCAAGUCGAGCGGAUGAAGGGAGCUUGCUCCCGGAUUCAGCGGCGGACGGGUGAGUAAUGCCUAGGAAUCUGCCUGGUAGUGGGGGAUAACGUCCGGAAACGGGCGCUAAUACCGCAUACGUCCUGAGGGAGAAAGUGGGGGAUCUUCGGACCUCACGCUAUCAGAUGAGCCUAGGUCGGAUUAGCUAGUUGGUGGGGUAAAGGCCUACCAAGGCGACGAUCCGUAACUGGUCUGAGAGGAUGAUCAGUCACACUGGAACUGACACACGGUCCAGACUCCUACGGGAGGCAGCAGGGGGGAAUAUUGGACAAUGGGCGAAAGCCUGAUCCAGCCAUGCCGCGUGUGUGAAGAAGGUCUUCGGAUUGUAAAGCACUUUAAGUUGGGAGGAAGGGCAGUAAGUUAAUACCUUGCCGUUUUGACGUUACCAACAGAAUAAGCACCGGCUAACUUCGUG